GUAGACCCCGCUCACUGCUGAUGGAGCAGCGAGUGAGGACAUACUGCUCCUGGAUAUAAGAACUUUCCUGGAUUCUCCUCAUCACAUCAUUAGACCAAUCCAGUUCUGCACCUACAGCAGAUGGACACAAUGUGUUGCAUUAAUUCAGAGGUUGGAGGAGGUGAUAAUUCAUCAUUUGAUUGUCCAAAAACGGACCCAGUUGAGCCACGAUGAACACCUUUAAAGCCCUGUUCUGGAAUCUGUUAAACACGGUAACAAUUACAAGUCCAUUUACCAGGCUAACAAACAGAUGCACCUUAUUAGAAAUGACAGCAUACCUCUAUCUUUUUUGUUUUGAAACUGGUCAUAUCAUACAGAGUGCAGUAGCCAAUGAGACAGUUGCCAGCAUAAAGCGGAGGAAUUUCAUUGGGUGACAGAAGAGCCUCCAUGUUUUCAGGCAGAUACCAGUCAAUCCUUACAUCAGUCAGCACAGGUUCAAACGCCUUCUUCAGCAACUUGAUCAACUUAGGUGGGAGUAUUGCAGAGCUGCUCACCUUGGGUUGGAGCCUCUCCUCAUCGUCCAAGAAUUCUGUGGUCCCUCCUGUUAAUCUGGCCACGCCCUGCAGGAGGCGCUUGCAAGCUCGAGGACCAAGGCCAAGACCAAAACAUCUGCAAAGGAGAGAAAUAUACAAAUACACAGUGCAUGUGUUUCUCCGGACCAGCUCCAGCACUUUGGCAACACUACCGAUAGAGCCAUCUGUAAUAACAAAGACCUGUCGAGGAUACGAGCGCUGCAUAGGCUGCUGGUAGACCCAGGACAGUGCCCCCAGGAGGUAAGAUCAGUAUUUGAAGCCCACGUCGGUGCAGAGUCUGCUGGUGGUGAACAGAGGCUUGAUGGUGGUUCCAAAGCCCACAAUGUUGAGCAUGGUUCCAGAAGGAAGACUCUUCAGUGCUACCACCAUGGCUUCCUGUGGAUACCAAAUGGAUGGAGACAGAAUGGAGUCAAAACAGUCUGAUUGCUAAUCUGUGGCUCCUACGUCUGAUGUUGGAAACAGAUCACCUUAACACGCUGAAUGUUGUUGCCACUCAUGCUGCCGCUCCGAUCUACGAGGAACAGCAGUUCUCUGGUAGCUUUGUGCAGCUCCUGUGGUUCACACAGCAGGUCAGGGCAGAAGUUGAGCAUCAACACUGGACUGUUCAAAAUGUCCUUGUGGUACCGCUUCCUCACAAACUCAAGCUGAAGGCUCUGAAUCUUUACGGGUGCAGCGAAUGAAAUCACGACGGGAGGAAAUCUGCUGUUCAUACUGGCUGAAGGAGAGUCUGCCUCUCUCUAAGAUGACCAGUGGACUGUGGGGUUCUGCAGCAGUGUUGGAGUGUAGGAGAAUCAUGAACAGAAUUCUACACAGAGCAGACAUUUGUUGAACAGCUCGUUGUUCCCUACCACUUAGGUGCAAAAUGAUCUCUAUAUGUCGGUCGUACGGAUGCUCCUGUGCCAGAGUGAUGUAUGUGGCAGAAGCACUCUGGGCACUUGGGUCUGCAUCUGCUCUUAGAGCGUGGGUGGGACUCUCCAGGCCUGCAAAAGAAGUAAAUAAUAAUAAAGCUUUUUACCAUA
This is a long non-coding RNA of Cynoglossus semilaevis (tongue sole), 1591 nucleotides long. RefSeq lists it as uncharacterized. Lineage: Eukaryota; Metazoa; Chordata; Actinopteri; Pleuronectiformes; Cynoglossidae. The transcript has 6 exons. The record is from RefSeq and is a predicted model, not a curated record.